ACUGCAGAAACAGGUGGUGAAUGCUCUAACACUGCUGCUGGAGCCGUGCACAUCAUCAACAACUGUGAUCUGGUUUUCCUCCCUGGCAGUCAGCUGGGUGCUGCCCUGCCCCGUGGUGCCUGGGGAUGGCCAGCAGCCACCACAAACCCCAGAGUUCCAGUGCAGCCCCUGGCUGCAAACAGUGUGUGGGCUGAAGCCUGGAAUGGGAGAGAUCCAUGUCCCUGACCCUCCUGGUGGCACUGAGGGACUGCUGCAGCUCUUCUGCUCUGUCACCUCUGUGUGCUGGGAUAACCUCACAGUAGCUCUGACAGUGUUUCAUGCUCUGGUGUACCUGUCCCAAUUAUAAUGGAAAACUGGGGCAAGGAGGGUUUGUCUAGUCAUGAGUAAACCUUUACUAAGAUUUUUAUUGUCUUUUAAAUCAGUAACAAUGGAAACAUGCUAGGGCUCCAUUAAAUAUCAAAUUACUGAGGUAACAUUUUGUAUCUGUUCAUUUGAGGAUGAAGGACAGAAGGCCAGGAAGACCAAACCAGAGGAGGCCAGGUCACAAGACUGCAGCAGUCAUCCCAUUUCCAUCAACCUCAGGUGACAUCUCAGGUCUCCAGCAAUGUCCUCGAGCAGGUCACCAGCUUUGCCUCAGGACCAUCAUACCACCUGCCCUUGGCUCACCACAUCCAGCCCAUCCUGGAUCUCCAGGAGCCAGCACUGAGCGUCAGGGGCUUAGAGACCUUGCAGUACAGGUGAGCAGGGUUCAUUUUAAGGAGUCAUGUCAGGGCAAAGCUGCAGAACAUUUUCUAUGAAGCCAGAAAAACCCCAAGGUCUGGACUGCAAAUUCCCCAGAUUUGAUGCCAUGUGCUUGUGUCUGUUUCAGUUUCCUGUGCCCUGAAACACAGUGCUGGGCACUUCCCCUUUCUGUUGUACUGUGAGAGUUGUGGAGAAUCAAUGCAUGCAUUUUAUUUUUAAAUCUCCCAAAAUUAUUAAAAUUCUAGAUUAUUUUAGCACAAAGUACGCUAGGAUGGGCUUUGCUGUUUUGGACCAAACCAAAAUAUUACUCAGUAACACAUCUGAUUGCCUGAAAUACCGUGGAUUUCUGAGGAGUAGCUCUGAGGGAUGAUUUUUCUACUUUAACCAUUUAUUUAGCUCCCUCUUCUCCUUGCUCUCUAGUGAAUUGCAUUUUUGCUUGCCACACAGUUUAUCCUGUGAAUCCCUCUGAGGGUUGCAGAACAUUUUAGCUUACCUGUACGACCUGUACGUGUCCUGCAGCUGCCUGAGGAGCGCGUUUGGAGACUGCUCAGGUCACGGGGUCACAACCCCUGGAGGGGAUGGCAGUGUUGGGAAGUGAAGUUCUGUGCCCUGCAGGAACACCUGAUGUCCCAGGAAGCUGCUGGGGAGGAGGAUGUUGGCUCUACCCAGCUGCUCACAAUUUCAGUCCUAGAAAUGUCCAAGAAAUGGUUUGGAAAUUCAAGACUUUGUUUGCAGGAAAACUUGAACAAACUAGGUGCAUCAGCCUUAUUAUCUGGCAGAUGUUGCUUAUCCAAAAUGAGUUUGAAAAUGUGCAUGGAGUGCUGACCCAGCAGGAUUUGGAAAAUGUGCAUGCAGUGCUGACCCAGCAGGAUUUUGAAGAUGUGCAUGCAGUGCUAACCCAGCAGGAGUUUGAAGAUGUGCAUGCAGUGCUAACCCAGCAGGAGUUUGAAGAUGUGCAUGCAGUGCUGACCCAGCAGGAUUCUGAAGAUGUGCAUGCAGUGCUGACCCAGCAGGAUUUUGAAGAUGUGCAUGCAGUGCUGACCCAGCAGGAGUUUGAAGAUGUGCAUGCAGUGCUGACCCAGCAGGAGUUUGUCAUGCCCCAGUUCCCUGCAGCUGCACCUGCAGGCAGUUCUGGUUUGGGUCCCAGCAGUGUGUUCCCAGGUGCAGCAGACGAUCUACAGCCACACUCCAGCUCCAGCCUGCAGUGGGACCCCGAGCUCGUGCAGGGUUUCCUGGAGAGCCCUCAGCUCCCAGCCUGAACUCCUCGAUGUGGGCAGGGUCCUGGGUGCCAGGGCAGCCCUGCUGGGCGUGUGCAGGGGCAGCAGCGCUGCGGCAGAACUCAGACCAGUGGACUCUGUGACAGUCCUGGUUGGAGCUGCAGCUCCUGAUCAAACAGUGCAAGAAGGACCUUCGUGUCCCUGCUGAGCCAGCAGCCCUUGCUGCCCCUGGGACUCACUUGCCUUCAGGGCCAGGAUGAGCCAAGGGAAGGGCUCCUUCACCCCUGCACAAUCAAGUUCCUCAGAAUUCAGCUGUUUCUGGGAAAAACAGUGAUGCGCUGAAGUUUCAUUGCUACUAUCCAUGCUGGAAACUUUCCAGACAAUAAUUAGUGAAGCUGUUGUAGAGCUGGUCUGCAGGACUUUGGUCCUGUCCCAGGGAAGCUGCCACACCGUUCAAAGCCCUCACUGUGACUGCAGACUGAAUGCUGUGAUGUGCCCAGGCACUCAGGUGCUUGUGGCUGCCCGUGAUUGAAGCCAUUGCAGGGCUGAGCCCAGCCUGGCUGCAGCCCGUGUUCCCCACCACUCCUGCUGUGUUUCUGGCUCAGAUGACGUGGACGUAGGUGGCUGCAGUGUCGGUGCCCAGGGGGUUCCUCGCUGUGCACCUGUACGUGCCAGAGCUGGAGGGUCGGGGGUUCUGCAGGAGCAGAGUCCCCGUGGGGUGGAGCAGCUCGCCCCCAGAGCCCCGGCCCUGGUGAGCUGUGGAGAGUACGGAGUGGUCAGGGGCUGCCACAAUGACCGUGACAUGGAUCUUCAUCUCGUCCCUCCCCAGAGUGUUUUGGGCGUAGCACGUGUAGUCUCCUCCCUCUGCCACUCCAGCUUUGUUGAGGCCCCAGGAUAUCGCUGGCGUGGGCGACCCCGAGGCCUUGCAGUCCACUCUGAAAUCCUUCCCGUACGGCACCAGCUUCUUGAACUGCUGCUUGUGGUCAAUCUUGGCUGGUUUCAUUGCGAUGCUGACUUUCAUCAGUAUCAGAUCAUCCCCGAUGCUGUUUCUGGCGACGCACAGGUGCUGUGCCCGUGCCUCCUGCCCACGCAGCGUGUCCUGCCCUGAUGUCACUGCCAGUUUUGGUGUUGUGUGGAUGUGAGUGGUGCUGGCUCUGCUGGGAACACCCUGAGCUGGGGCUGUGUCUCCUAAGGUGGAGCAAGGCUGCCCAGCGCUGUGGAUCAGCUCUCCUGCCUGAGGGAACAAACUGUCUCCUGUGUCCCCUGAAGCGCCGGCCGGCUCUGUCUGCGUAGGGCCAGUGAGGCAUUUUCCUGUGGCUGCUCCUCUGCCUCUGGCUCUGUGCGCCCUGGCUGCUGGCUGCUGGUGCAGCAGGCUCCCCGAGAGCUCUCAGGGUGGCUGCAGUGCCUGAGGGAUGUCUCUGUGCUGCAGCAGAGCGCAGCAGCUCAUUGCCAGAGCCUUCUUCCCAGUCUCCCAGAGCUCCAUGCUUUUCCUUCAGAGCAGUUUCAUCCUGUCCCACCAGCACUUGGAAAACCAAAAGAUCAACACCGUACCGGUUGGCCGCCACGCAUCGGAAGUAGCCCACGUCUCUCUGCGUCACCCCUUGUAUUCUCAAGGUGCCAUUGGCAAAAAUGUGUUUGUUUCCAGCAGACUGACGGAGAAUUGUGUGCUCAGGUAGCACCCAGGUAACGGCAGGGUCUGGGGCAGCCGUGGCUGUGCAGGGGAGGUGCAGCGUGCUGCCGAGAGCAGCCGGCAGCUGGGCUCCAUUGACACCGUUGUGCUCCACGUGGGGAUCCACCACUGUGAUUCGGAAUGUGAGCACGUCAGCGUCCUGGUGGUUGGUGCUGGUGCAGUGAUAGAGCCCCGAGUCGAACACGUCAGCUGUCCGCAGCGUCAGCACCCCGCUCCUGAGGACCAGGAUCCUCCCAUCCUCGCUGAUGUGGGGGGCUCGCACCUUGCUGCCGUCGGCCAACACCCACUCCACGGCAGGAGCUGGCUGCCCGGCUGCCUGGCACCCCAGCUCCACGGUGCCCCCCACCAGCACGGUGUGCUCCCUUUGGGUGCUGUUGUCCCUGGCAAUGAUGGCCCAGCCGUGCCUCCCCUGGUCCCUGUCGUGGCUGGGCAGAGCCACCCGGGCCUGGGUGGUGUAGCGGAGGUGCAGCGUGCUGAGCGUGGUGGCUGUCCUGUCCAGCUGCAGGGACACCUGGCUCUGCAUCAGCCACGCCGGCUCAGCUCGCAGCUCAGCCUCGAUCCUGGUGAAGAGCUCGUCGUUCUCACUGUACGCCUGCCUGUAGCUGUAGCUGACAAAAGGCUCGUCAGCUGCCCGCACCGUUUGCUCCAGCUUCAAAGGAGAGCUGCUGUACAGUGCCAGGAUGCUCCACAGCUGCUGGAUGUGCCCAUGAUCGAUACCACACACCAGGAAUGCUGAGAGCGAGGCUUUGAGCACUCUGCUGGGGCCAUCUUGGUCAAAAGAGAUGGGAGACAUUUCUUUAGGUCUCUGGACAUUGCAAACCAAGUUGCCUCGAUUUCCUGCCUGGUCAGUCAUAUUCAAAACCACAGAUCCUAUCGGAGCCAUCAAGUCCUUGGGAGACACAAAACUGAAAUCCCCAUCGUCUGGCACUGAGAGGUUUCUGGAUUUCAGGGAGUCUUGGAUGACUGGCUUCGUGCAGGUGAAAGAUGCAGAAGGAAGAUCCACUAAACUUUUCCCAUUAUGGUUUUUGGGACUAGCACAGACCGGGCAUUGCUGGACACCAGAACUUCUCUCUUUUCUGCACUUUAUAACAUCUGAAGGGAAGAAAACCUCAGUAAGUUUCUGUGAUACAAGUUUUAAUGUUAAAAAUGACAUAUAGCUACUAACAAGUGGUUCUUUUGAAUGAAAUAAAACCAAAGCUUGAAGUGACAUGUGAAGGCAGCAGCAGAGAAAGUCCCAGAGUCCCUUGAGUUCCUGAAUUUCUUUUUAAAGAAUCAAGUGCAAUGUGGGCCUUGCUCUUGCCAGUUCCACAAAAGUUAGCUUGCUCCCUGUGGAUUCUCCCAGUGCACAGAAGCUUUGGACUGGCCAAGAAAAAUUAUCCAUUAAGGAAAGCUGCACUUGGGAAUGGCCACUAGAUUCAUUUAAUCUGGGAAACACAGUGGUGUUUAGCUCUUUAUCCUGGUUAAACACACCUACACAAAUCCUCUCUUCCAGUCUUUUCUGGGAGAAUAAACAGAUGAAUAAAGGACAAUUACCUGUAUCAGGAAGAGUAAGAUGCUACAACAGGAUUGAAGAGCAUGAACAAAGCCUUCAGCUCACCUGGCCUCUCCUGUGCCCACCCUGCAAACCCCUGCAGGCUGCAGUCGCAGGACCAGGGGUUUCCGUGGAGAGAGAGUGUUUUGACUGCAGUUGCCUGCUGAGGUACAGCUGAGAGAAAUCUACCAAAGUGUUUGUCAUGUUCUGCACCCUGUACCUGAGUGCCUGCCUGGGAAGGAAAGACAUUUCCCACCAGGAUACUGGAUUUUGAAGGCUGUUGACUUUCACAUGAAAAAGGCCAGCAAAGUCCGUGGGGCUGAGUUUCCUCAGGCUGUUGUAGCUGUACAGGAUGGGUUCAGUCAGCCCCAACUCACGGCUUUUACAUCCAACCAACCCAAAACAAGAGAACCACUCUUUGGGAACAGCUCAAGACACAGCUGGAUGGAUCAAAGGUUAUGUGUGUCAAAAGGGACACAGAUCAGACCAAUACUGCUGAUGGGUCUCAUCAUUCGAUUUAAGAGAGGGACAUUUGCUGGAAACUGCAUGAAGGGGCCAGACGAGCCUGGGUGUGAUCCCUGCUCCUUUAACCACACAGAGAACGGAGCCACCGUGGAGGCUGCCAUGGCCAGACAAGUGAAAUUUCCUGGAAGUCAGCAGACCACUUUCUGAGCCCUGGACUAUUCUUCCCAGAGAGAAAUCUAUUUCAGCCCUCUUCCAGGGUCCGUGCUACAGACACAACACAUUCAGCCUCUUGCUGGGCAAAUCCUCGCAAUGCCUGGUGGGUGGCUGGAUGCCUUGGGAAGGAUGACAUGGCCCCCCGAGCACCAUGCUGGGGAUUUCACAAGAACACACUCAGGUGGCACAUGGUUCAGCUCUCAGCCUUCUGUGAUUUUCCUGCUCUGCUCCUCCAAAGGGUGCUCCACCCCACAGGCUGCUCAGCCGGAGAGCACGAGGCUGCGCCGAUUUGCUGCUGGUAGAACUUUGGCCAAAGGAAUCACCUUCAUUUUAAUCUGAAAAAGGUAAAACCGCUGUGUCCCAGGCCCUGCUCGAGUUUCUGCCUUGCAGAGCGGCAGCUCAGUGCCCCGGGACACCCGACACGGCUGCCUGCACCUGGGUGUCCCCGCGCGGCCACCUCCCGCUCCCGUCCCGCUCCCGUCCGCCGCCUGUCCCGGGGC
This is a long non-coding RNA of Haemorhous mexicanus (house finch), 6357 nucleotides long. RefSeq lists it as uncharacterized. NCBI's taxonomy places the organism in Eukaryota, Metazoa, Chordata, Aves, Passeriformes, Fringillidae. The transcript is spliced from 17 exons. The record is from RefSeq and is a predicted model, not a curated record.